CGGGCGACGCGCCGGUCUAAGUCCCUUGGAACNGGGCGUCACAGAGGGUGAGAAUCCCGUAUGUGACCGGUGACCGCGCCCAUGUGAAACCCNUUCGACGAGUCGAGUUGUUUGGGAAUGCAGCUCAAAAUGGGUGGUAAAUUUCAUCUAAAGCUAAAUACCGGCCAGAGACCGAUAGCGCACAAGUAGAGUGAUCGAAAGAUGAAAAGCACUUUGGAAAGAGAGUCAAAAAGUACGUGAAAUUGUUGAAAGGGAAGCGCUUGCAACCAGACCUGCCCGCGGGUGAUCAACCGUCCUUCUGGGCGGUGCACUCGCCCGCGAUCAGGCCAGCAUCGGUUCGGGCGGUCGGAUAAAGGCCUUGGGAAUGUAGCUCCUCUCGGGGAGUGUUAUAGCCCUCGGUGCAAUGCGGCCUGCCCGGACCGAGGACCGCGCUUCGGCUAGGAUGCUGGCGUAAUGGUUGUAAGCGGCCCGUCUUGAAACACGGACCAAGGAGUCGACCAACUAUGCGAGUGUUUGGGUGUCAAACCCACACGCGCAAUGAAAGUGAACGGAGGUGGGAACCCCUUCCGGGGCGCACCAUCGACCGAUCCAGAUGUCUUCGGAUGGAUUUGAGUACGAGCAUAGCUGGUCGGACCCGAAAGAUGAUGAACUAUGCCUGAAUAGGGUGAAGCCAGAGGAAACUCUGGUGGAGGCUCGCAGCGGUUCUGACGUGCAAAUCGAUCGUCAAAUUUGGGCAUAGGGGCGAAAGACUAAUCGAAUCAUC
This 763-nucleotide ribosomal RNA is filed under the name Calogaya cf. arnoldii UA-2013. RNAcentral describes it as "LSU rRNA". It matches the Rfam family "Eukaryotic large subunit ribosomal RNA", at positions 165 to 944 of the family's 3401-position model. Lineage: Eukaryota; Fungi; Ascomycota; Lecanoromycetes; Teloschistales; Teloschistaceae. The record is from RNAcentral.